RNAcentral lists this long non-coding RNA (629 nucleotides) under Salmo salar (Atlantic salmon). Its description in RNAcentral is "lncRNA (ENSSSAG00000107667.1)". Lineage: Eukaryota; Metazoa; Chordata; Actinopteri; Salmoniformes; Salmonidae. The record is from RNAcentral.
GUAUAGGUGCAGUGAUCUGUGAGCUGCUCUGACAGCUGGUGCUUAAAGUUAGUGAGGGAGAUAUAAGUCUCCAGCUUCAGUGCUUUUUGCAAUUCGUUCCAGUCAUUGGCAGCAGAGAACUGGAAGUAAAGGCGGCCAAAGGAGGAAUUGGCUUUGGGGUACCUAGUGUAAUAUAUCUGCUGGAGUGCGUACUACAGUGCAUGGAUUCUAAAUGUGUUGGCCCUUCCUUGGCGCUCGCUCCACACAGCCUUGUGGAGUUGUUAUUCACACACGGGAGCAGAUGUUGUGAAGAGAAAACAGCGUGACAAGAUUGUGAUCGAUGCAUACUGCCCCAUCAAAAUCGCUGCAUAAUUUGGCGGAUGGCAUCAGGAUAACAACCCGCAUUAGCUGGAGACAGCUGUCGCCAUGGCGCCUGGCAGCAGAGUCCUAAAGUUGAGACAAUAUCCACAUCUGGAGAGCACACCAGGAAGACUUUGUCGUGUCUGUGACUAUCAUUAAAUGUGAAGACUGUAUAUUAUCAAAUCAAUUCUCCGUGUGUAAUUUAAUUACGCGAUUAAACUAAUCAUGUAACUUUAAUUAACUUGGAAGUCGGGGCACCACAAUGAUUUUUUUUUAUAGUGUCAAUUUCC